Molecule: ribosomal RNA, 406 nt
Filed under: uncultured bacterium
Lineage: Bacteria
Description: partial 16S ribosomal RNA
Rfam family: Bacterial small subunit ribosomal RNA
Source: RNAcentral
AUUGAACGCUGGCGGCAGGCCUAACACAUGCAAGUCGCACGAGUGGCGGACGGGUGAGUAAUGUCUGGGAAACUGCCCGAUGGAGGGGGAUAACUACUGGAAACGGUAGCUAAUACCGCAUACCAUCGGAUGUGCCCAUGUGGGAUUAGCUCGUAGGUGGGGUAACGGCUCACAUAGGGGACGAUCCCUAGCUGGUCUGAGAGGAUGACCAUCCACACUGGAAAUGAGACACGGUCCAGACUCCGACGGGAGGCAGCAGUGGGGAAUAUUGCACAAUGGGCGCAAGCCUGAUGCAGCCAUGCCGCGUGUAUGAAGAAGGCCUUCGGGUUGUAAAGUACUUUCAGCGGGGAGGCGUUACCCGCAGAAGAAGCACCGGCUAACUCCGUGCCAGCCGCCGCGGUAAUAC